GACGAACGCUGGCGGCGUGCCUAAUACAUGCAAGUCGAACGCAUUUUCUUUCACCGUAGCUUGCUACACCGAAAGAAACUGAGUGGCGAACGGGUGAGUAACACGUGGGUAACCUGCCCAUCAGCGGGGGAUAACACUUGGAAACAGGUUCUAAUACCGCAUAAUUCCAUUUACCGCAUGGUAAAUGGAUGAAAGGCGCUUUUGCGUCACUGAUGGAUGUACCCGCGGUGCUUUAGCUAGUUGGUGGGGUAACGGACUACCAAGGCUGGGAUGCAUAGCCGACCUGAGAGGGUGAGCGGCCACACUGGGACGGAGACACGGCCCAGACUCCCACGGGAGGAAGCAGGAGGGAUUCUUCGGCAAGGGACGCAAGUCUGACCGAGCAACGCCGCGGGAGGGAAGAAGGUUUUCGGAUCGGAAAACUCGGUUGUUAGAGAAGAAAAAGGAUGAGAGUGGAAAGUUCAGCCCUUGACGGUAUCUAACCAGAAAGCCACGGCUAACUACGUG
RNAcentral lists this ribosomal RNA (507 nucleotides) under uncultured bacterium. RNAcentral's name for it is "partial 16S ribosomal RNA". It matches the Rfam family "Bacterial small subunit ribosomal RNA", at positions 28 to 507 of the family's 1533-position model. The record is from RNAcentral.